This 439-nucleotide ribosomal RNA is filed under the name uncultured Hyphomicrobiales bacterium. RNAcentral describes it as "bacterial SSU rRNA". It matches the Rfam family "Bacterial small subunit ribosomal RNA", at positions 968 to 1404 of the family's 1533-position model. Lineage: Bacteria; Pseudomonadati; Pseudomonadota; Alphaproteobacteria; Hyphomicrobiales. The record is from RNAcentral.
ACCUUACCAGCCCUUGACAUCCCGAUCAGGAUUAUCAGAGAUGAUGAUUGUCGGUUCGGCCGGAUCGGUGACAGGUGCUGCAUGGCUGUCGUCAGCUCGUGUCGUGAGAUGUUGGGUUAAGUCCCGCAACGAGCGCAACCCUCGCCCUUAGUUGCCAUCAUUAAGUUGGGCACUCUAAGGGGACUGCCGAUGAUAAGCCGAGAGGAAGGUGGGGAUGACGUCAAGUCCUCAUGGCCCUUACGGGCUGGGCUACACACGUGCUACAAUGGUGGUGACAGUGGGCAGCGAGACCGCGAGGUCGAGCUAAUCUCCAAAAGCCAUCUCAGUUCGGAUUGCACUCUGCAACUCGAGUGCAUGAAGUUGGAAUCGCUAGUAAUCGUGGAUCAGCAUGCCACGGUGAAUACGUUCCCGGGCCUUGUACACACCGCCCGUCACACCA